RNAcentral lists this ribosomal RNA (426 nucleotides) under uncultured Oscillospiraceae bacterium. RNAcentral's name for it is "bacterial SSU rRNA". It matches the Rfam family "Bacterial small subunit ribosomal RNA", at positions 355 to 794 of the family's 1533-position model. Lineage: Bacteria; Bacillati; Bacillota; Clostridia; Eubacteriales; Oscillospiraceae. The record is from RNAcentral.
UGGGGAAUAUUGGGCAAUGGGGCGAAAGCCUGACCCAGCAACGCCGCGUGAAGGAAGAAGGUCUUCGGAUUGUAAACUUCUUUUAUGAGGGACGAAGGACGUGACGGUACCUCAUGAAUAAGCCACGGCUAACUACGUGCCAGCAGCCGCGGUAAUACGUAGGGAGCAAGCGUUAUCCGGAAUUACUGGGUGUAAAGGGAGUGUAGGCGGGACUGUAAGUCAGAUGUGAAAUAUGCCGGCUCAACUGGCAGACUGCAUUUGAAACUGUGGUUCUUGAGUGAAGUAGAGGUAAGCGGAAUUCCUGGUGUAGCGGUGAAAUGCGUAGAUAUCAGGAGGAACAUCAGUGGCGAAGGCGGCUUACUGGGCUUUAACUGACGCUGAGGCUCGAAAGCGUGGGGAGCAAACAGGAUUAGAUACCCUGGUAGU